Molecule: RNA transcript, 3219 nt
Organism: Triticum aestivum (bread wheat)
Lineage: Eukaryota; Viridiplantae; Streptophyta; Magnoliopsida; Poales; Poaceae
Exons: 9
Source: RefSeq, a predicted model, not a curated record
UGUUCUUCUUCCAUCUAAAAAAAAGCACUCUGCUUCUCGUGUCGCCUCUCUCGCGGGGACUUGCUUUGGCGAAACGGGACCGGAUAGGGCCAGAUGCGUUCGGGCGUAGGGGGGAACCCGCGGCGGGCGUCCGUUCUCCAGUCCGUCAGAUGGAGACGCCUCGUCGCGGCCGCGCUCAGCAUCAGGGCGACCCCGGCUCUGCGCGCGGUGAGCAACAAGAGCAGUCUACUCUCCCUCUCCAGUCGCACAGGAGAUGGUGUGCAGAGUUUGUUUGAGCCCUUGCUACCGCGAGAGCAGGGCAAGCGGGAUGAGCAUGUUUGUCUGGAAGGAGUUCAAAAACGCAGGGGUUGUGCCAUGCAACAAAAGAGUUCGUUUCAACGACCUGAGAGGGGAUACACUGAAGUUUAAGGCAAACAAAUGGACAUACACCGUGAAGUGUCACAAGGGGCCCAGAAAGAGCACAAUGUAUGGUAGUGGAUAGAGGAAAUUUGUUGCAGACAACAAGUUGGGGAAGGGCCAGCUGGUUCUCUUCUACUUGGACCAGCCUUCCCCAAGGGCAGUUAUCUGUGUGAUUCAAUUCGGGGAUGGUGCCGAAGGUGAAGGAUAUGAGGGUGAGAAUGACUACAUGGAAGUCUCAGAUGAAGAAGACGAGGAUAGGCAAGCUGACAACAGUGAUGACGGUGAUGAUAUUGUUCGCGCUAGGGGGGCUUGAGUUGACUCAGGAAGAGGAGUCAGAUCUAGAUGGGCCGCUUCCGCUCAACAACGGGUUCAUAGGGUUGGCAUUUGUGCACCGCCUCAUGAGGACUCAUGUUCUUUUGGGAAGCAUGAAUUACAAGGGCAUGAUAGUAGAGCGGCAGGUCAUUCAUGAAGCAGGGAACUUAAAGAGGGCACAAGAAAUAUUUUUUUUCAAGAAAAGCUCGUACAUGUGGUGCAAAUGCACUUGGAGAUGGUUGGAAUGCCAAAUUCAUCGCAGGCUGUUGUUGCUGCACAUACUGGACACCAAGGUACGGCUACCAUGGAAACACAAAAUCAUGCUUAUGUCAGUUUCUGGGAUGGUGACACAGCUCAAACAUAUGUAUUUACAAUCUAAGGGAAUUUUUGUUUUCGCAUAUUUUAUCUUACUUGGACUGGGGUCACCAAAUUAUGUGGAGAUGGAGCAUGACUGCUUGGAAAUCUCUAUGCCAAAGUAUUCACCGGCUGCUACACGAAAUGCAGAAGACAGGUAAAGCUGGUGUUCAGAGCAGAAGGUCUUGCCAUUGCGAAUGUCUGGCUCUGAUAAAGACUUUUACAAGCAGAGGACAAUGUUUGAUACUCCUCUGUAAAGAAAUAUAUUAUUUCUUUACAAAGGGAGUACAUUAAGCAUAGAGAGAGUCAUAAUCAUUCGCUUUCACUGAAUUUGGCGAGAUAAUCCACAGUUAGAGAAGCAGGAGAGAGUUUGAGGCAAGUAACCCGUGGUAGUAAUCAUACUAGUGGAGGUGCUGAUGCUGGCUCUGGGAGGGGUACGAGGGGGCAGAAAAAGAGUUGUUGUGUCAACAAUGCAGUGACAGGGGAUGGGACACCUUGCGAUGUGCCUGAAGCCUUGAUGCAAUAUGACCGCAAUGAUGUUGCUAGACAAUCAGGUUAUCAUCUGUCAUUUCGCUUUGUUCUAAAAAUUGAGUUAUCUUUGCAUUCAGUUAACAUAGUUCUUUGCCGACAUCCAUGAGCAUGAGGAUGAAGUGGGUAGGGGAUUGUGCGUGGUGUCAGGCUGGAUGAGGAGUAACCUAAGGUUGCAGAUAGGCAUGGUCAGGACAUCGUGAAGGGUGAGAUGGGUGAUAAGUUCUGAGGAAAAGCUGGUUUGAAGGAUGAAGAGCCAAACACAAGAGACAUGCUACUUUCUAUGACAGGAUGUUGUCAUACACUUCCAGAGAACUUAGCAAGAGAAGACUUCGUGAGGGAGUUCGGACCAAACGGGCUGUUGACAGUGGAUUCGUGUGUCGCGGCUGAUCAUUACAAGGAAGGUCGGAUGUUUGAUAGUUGACAGAUCAGGUGGCACCACGUCUUUGACUUGCGGUUUGUGAUGAUGCUGCCGGUGCCAAUGUACGAGGUCCAUAGUGUAUGAGGUGAUUUUGAUGAGGGGGACAGGGUUGAGCUGCCAGAUUUCAUGCUUGAAGUGCUCUUUCUGAGGUAUGAGUUAUACGGAUGUAGUAUUUUAGAUCCGGUGUCUGCGAGAUUGAUUAUGAAACACGUUGUGUACAUUAGACAUUGGAGGGGAAUGUUAGCUACCAUCUCAUUUUGUGGUGUGGUAGUGAUUCUAAGCCCAGUGUUUGCCACAUUGAGCUUAACCUGUAUUUUGAGCAAGACAUGGCAAGCUAGAUUACAUCCUAGUCAGCUGGCGUGGAAGUGCUUGUGAUCACUCUGUGCUUAGCUAUACUAUAUUUGCAUGUAAGGAUUGAUAUGCCACAUGUUGAAGGUGGUAACUGAACCAGCAGAUGAUGAAUCGUUGGUUUUUAAGAUUUGCGAGUGCUCUGUUAAGAUUGUAGUGCAGAACUCUUUAAGGUGUUCAUUUUGCAAUUAAUGUUGUUCAGAACCAUUUGGAGUUACUCUCCAGCUAAGGAUGGCUGUGGUUUUCAAUUAGGAGACCUGGACGGUGACUUGGUAUUUUGCCAGAAUGGCUUCUGAUGAGUUCAUGUCGUGUUUUGCAAAAAGGGAAACUGGAAACUUUCAAUACGUGGUGCGUUUUAAGUACUUAUAAGGUUAUGCUGAUGAUGCGCUCUGGGGUGUGUGGUUUUGCUGUGCAUCAUGAGAUUUUUGAGUUUCGAACGAUGUUCGGCCAAAAUUAGCAUGGUUGUGAUUUUCAGUUGUGACUAGAUGCUUGUGAAAUUGCUACAGAUGCUAUUUGGAACAAUUGGUAUUUUGAUGGAAUAGCGACGGGAAAACUAAGGGCAUGUUUUGCAAACACAUGACACAUCUAGACAUUUGGAAAGGCAUAGACAAACGAAAAUUCAUGGUCUUUUUUUUUACGGUACAGUGCUGACUAGUACUUAAUUUUCAAGGCUGUGAUUUAGCCCAUGUAAAAGAAAAGUUUGUGAUUUAGCAGGUGAUGAAAGAGAAGAAUCGUGUAGGGUAAGGCUGCUAGCUACCUGCAGCUAUGGGCCGCAAUAAAUGGGAUAUAAUUAAGGCCGUUAGUCCAGAAUCUUGUGAUGUCACGGCACAGAUCGAGGAAGGACAUCUGAGAGCAAA